Molecule: non-coding RNA, 18 nt
Filed under: Mus musculus (house mouse)
Lineage: Eukaryota; Metazoa; Chordata; Mammalia; Rodentia; Muridae
Also listed under: 1 other name
Source: RNAcentral
CUUGCGGAAGGAUCAUUA